This 253-nucleotide ribosomal RNA is filed under the name uncultured bacterium. RNAcentral describes it as "partial 16S ribosomal RNA". It matches the Rfam family "Bacterial small subunit ribosomal RNA", at positions 524 to 776 of the family's 1533-position model. The record is from RNAcentral.
UACGUAGGGUGCGAGCGUUGUCCGGAAUUACUGGGCGUAAAGAGCUCGUAGGUGGUUUGUCGCGUUGUCCGUGAAAACUCACAACUCAAUUGUGGGCGUGCGGGCGAUACGGGCAGACUGGAGUACUGCAGGGGAGACUGGAAUUCCUGGUGUAGCGGUGGAAUGCGCAGAUAUCAGGAGGAACACCGGUGGCGAAGGCGGGUCUCUGGGCCGAUACUGACGCUGAGGAGCGGAAGCGUGGGGAGCGAACAGG